GAUGAACGCUGGCGGCGUGCCUAAUACAUGCAAGUCGAGCGAACGGACGAGAAGCUUGCUUUUCUGAUGUUAGCGGCGGACGGGUGAGUAACACGUGGAUAACCUACCUAUAAGACUGGGAUAACUUCGGGAAACCGGAGCUAAUACCGGAUAAUAUUUUGAACCGCAUGGUUCAAAAGUGAAAGACGGUCUUGCUGUCACUUAUAGAUGGAUCCGCGCUGCAUUAGCUAGUUGGUAAGGUAACGGCUUACCAAGGCAACGAUGCAUAGCCGACCUGAGAGGGUGAUCGGCCACACUGGAACUGAGACACGGUCCAGACUCCUACGGGAGGCAGCAGUAGGUAAUCUUCCGCAAUGGGCGAAAGCCUGACGGAGCAACGCCGCGUGAGUGAUGAAGGUCUUCGGAUCGUAAAACUCUGUUAUUAGGGAAGAACAUAUGUGUAAGUAACUGUGCACAUCUUGACGGUACCUAAUCAGAAAGCCACGGCUAACUACGUG
Molecule: ribosomal RNA, 497 nt
Filed under: uncultured bacterium
Lineage: Bacteria
Description: partial 16S ribosomal RNA
Rfam family: Bacterial small subunit ribosomal RNA
Source: RNAcentral